RNAcentral lists this ribosomal RNA (305 nucleotides) under uncultured bacterium. RNAcentral describes it as "partial 16S ribosomal RNA". It matches the Rfam family "Bacterial small subunit ribosomal RNA", at positions 336 to 657 of the family's 1533-position model. The record is from RNAcentral.
CCCCUACGGGGGGCAGCAGUGGGGGAUAUUGCACAAUGGGGGAAACACUGAUGCAGCGACGCCGCGGGAGUGAAGAAGUAUUUCGGUACGUAAAGCUCUAUCAGCAGGGAAGAAUAAUGACGGUACCUGACUAAGAAGCCCCGGCUAACUACGUGCCAGCAGCCGCGGUAAUACGUAGGGGGCAAGCGUUAUCCGGAUUUACUGGGUGUAAAGGGAGCGUAGACGGCUGUGCAAGUCUGAAGUGAAAUGCCGGGGCCCAACCCAGGAACUGCUUUGGAAACGGUACAGCUGGAGUGCAGGGGGGG